Molecule: ribosomal RNA, 470 nt
Filed under: uncultured bacterium
Lineage: Bacteria
Description: partial 16S ribosomal RNA
Rfam family: Bacterial small subunit ribosomal RNA
Source: RNAcentral
AACGAACGCUGGCGGCAUGCCUAACACAUGCAAGUCGAACGAGACCUUCGGGUCUAGUGGCGCACGGGUGCGUAACGCGUGGGAACCUGCCCUUAGGUUCGGAAUAACUCCCCGAAAGGGGUGCUAAUACCGGAUAAUGUCUUCGGACCAAAGAUUUAUCGCCUUUGGAUGGGCCCGCGUUGGAUUAGCUAGUUGGUAGGGUAAAAGCCUACCAAGGCGACGAUCCAUAGCUGGUCUGAGAGGAUGAUCAGCCACACUGGGACUGAGACACGGCCCAGACGAGGGCGGGAGGCGGAAGGGGAGAAUAUGGGGCGGAGGCGGACAUACUGCGCCAGCGCUGCAUGGUGAGGUCGGAAGGGCUUAGAGUAUUGAGGCUCUGGGCCGAGUUGUGAAAAUGAGGGUGGAGGGAAAAAAGGCUCCGACUACACCGGCGCCAGCGCCGCGGUCGACGGAAGAGCAAGUGUCUGAGC